Molecule: ribosomal RNA, 332 nt
Filed under: uncultured bacterium
Lineage: Bacteria
Description: bacterial SSU rRNA
Rfam family: Bacterial small subunit ribosomal RNA
Source: RNAcentral
UGCGUAGGUGGUUAGGUAAGACCUGUGGGAAAGACCUGGGCUUAACCCAGGAAGGUCGCAGGUGACUGCCUGGCUAGAGGGCGGGAGAGGAGCGCGGAAUUCCCGGUGUAGCGGUGAAAUGCGUAGAGAUCGGGAGGAAGGCCGGUGGCGAAGGCGGCGCACUGGACCAUAACUGACGCUGAUGCACGAAAGCUAGGGGAGCAAACAGGAUUAGAUACCCUGGUAGUCCUAGCCCUAAACGAUGAUUGCUUGGUGUAGCCGGUACCCAAUCCGGCUGUGCCGCAGCUAACGCGAUAAGCAAUCCGCCUGGGGAGUACGGUCGCAAGGCUGAA